GGAUUUCAUCAACAUACAGCUGGUACACAUCCCUCUUCCAUUUCCUCCUGUUUCCUCAAUACAUGCAUCUCAAUUUAUCCUAGUGAUGUAGGAACUACUAAAUUAUUAAGCAGUGGCACAAUCAGUGAGAAUGAUGCAUGGAAGAAAUGACAGGAAGUAGCUACUUUUAGUUGCACAUUAUAUAGCAAAGACCGAAUUACAGAAGAUCUAAGGCUCCUAUAGCUAUUUUUAAAAUAAUCAUUCAAGCUAUCAAUACUACUUUCAUUCAAAGGGGAGGGCAAUUUGUUCAGCUGCUUUCAAAUGAUUGAUCCUUUUGCAUAGCAGAAAAUAAAGAUUUUGCACUAUAUUCUCUUUGCUUUAUGAUUUCGUCAAUUGUAUGACGUUGAAAAUUUUUGAUCGCAGGAUAAUGUCCGAAACCAACU
This 422-nucleotide unclassified non-coding RNA is filed under the name Hevea brasiliensis (rubber tree). Lineage: Eukaryota; Viridiplantae; Streptophyta; Magnoliopsida; Malpighiales; Euphorbiaceae. The record is from RNAcentral.